Molecule: long non-coding RNA, 1274 nt
Organism: Sceloporus undulatus (fence lizard)
Lineage: Eukaryota; Metazoa; Chordata; Lepidosauria; Squamata; Phrynosomatidae
Exons: 3
Source: RefSeq, a predicted model, not a curated record
GAAAGGACAAAUCCAACCCAUUGCCUUCAGCCUGUGCUAUCCCACCGCUCAUGUGGUAACAGCCAAAUAUGGCACCUGUACAUAGACUUCAUUCAAACCGAAGGCUUUAUCUGUGAUGCCACUGAUGAAAGGAAAGACAUAGUUCCACCUCUGCAAACAGUUCAUGGCAUCUUGUAUGCCAACUACAGAUCAAAGCAUUUCAAGCCAAUCUUCUGGGGAAACUCAGAGAGCAGUGAUUUUCUGCUGAGAACCUGCCUCAACUUACCACAAUACAGUCCAGUCAAUAAUCUUCCUAUAACAAUAAGGACGUGUGCAGGACCAAACUUUGCCACACCCAAGAAGACAUUCCCGGCAAUUGCAAGGACAUUCACAAGCAGCAUAGAUUUCACUCUGAAACAAGAGAGGGAAUAAAUUCCACAUCCACAUGGGAAAAGGCCCUGAAUCUCACUCGCUUUGGUGUAUGAUGGUAUCAAACUAGUCAAGCUACUUCCCAGAGAAUGAGAAGGUACUUUUUUGUAGUCCAUGUAGGCAACUUUUCUAAGCUCAAAUACUUCCACAACAGAGAAAGCUAAAAUAGGUAAAUAUGUAGUCCAAUAAUCAAAAUCUGCAAAAUGGACAUCUUUUUCUUUCUACUUCAAAACUUUGGACGUGCAUCCUAUUAAAAACCUGUUGCUAUAGCACAGCAUUAACCAGGACCAUCUUUAGAGUUUGAAGAGAAGUAGAAAAGCCAGAUUAGAAGUGUAUCUGUUGAAUAUUAACCAUGAUUAAAGCUAUAGGUGCCAUAACACUUUUAACCAUGCAUAAAGAAGCCAGGAAGGAUUUGUGCUUGAGAAAGCAAGAAGCGUGGGGAAGAGAAUACUGCAUUAACUCUCAAUGGGUAGAAGUGGAAGGAAAGGCCAAUGGCGGUUGGUGGCUUCCAUGUCAGUGGUCAGUCAGUCCAUUCCAGGGUUUUGUUUGCAUGUGAACUCUAUUUGGGGGAUAGGAUUCAACUAGCAACUAGGAGAGAACAUUUAAAGUUCAGUCUGCAAUUCAGAACAGAUUCACUGCCCCACUGAUAUGGAAGCCACCAACCUCCAGUGGGCAAGGCAGAAUGGGAUGACCAUCAAAUGGGCCACAAGAUGCUUCUCACAGCACUGCACGACAAGAGGACACAGUCUGGGGCCACAGUGUCUUGCCAUUCUCAAGGCCAAUCUGAAGAACACAUCCAUGUUACAAGCAGUAUUUAUACAGAUUCCAUGGAAAUUAGUAGGGCUGCUUGGCUACUUAGUUUUGAU